AGGUGAUCCCUUAUGUGUUGGUUUUUAGGAACUUCAAUGUAUUUUCUUCUUUCUUGAGAAAAAUUAGGUUGGGUUUUUUUAUUGACAUGUACUAUAUUGAAUGGGUAUGAUUAUUAGAAAGUGUGCUCAACAUGCUGGAAGUGUUAAUAGAUAUGAUUAUUAGAAAGUGUUAGUGGAUCGUAUUUGAUGUUUUAUUUUAAUGAAAAGUUACGAAGUCCAUUGUGAACAUACUUGCAUCCAUAUCUAGCUACUUUAAAGUAUGUUAAUAUUUUUUUUUUAAAACAAUAGUAUUUUACCCUAUAGGCCAUUAAUUCUCUCUCCUACCUACCCUAAUAUAUUUACUAUGUUUGAAAAAUAGCAUGUCCAAAUAUAUUAUUAAUUGGGUUGUAGUUGAUCAACUUGAUUACAAAAAUAAUAUGAAUAUAAUUUUCUUUGCUUAAAAAGUUUUUGGAAUCCUUGCUAAUGGAAAUUAAAUGAUAUUGUGAUAUGAUAGAUGAAGGGGAUGUGAAUGAGUACAACUUGAAACAAAUGGGAAGGAGUCCAAUUGGGAAAUGAGCUUCAUAGCCAGGGAAAGUACAAUGAUGCCUUGCAGAAGUACUGUCUUGCAAAAAAGAACCUAAAAGGCAUUCCAUCAUCGAAAGGUCAAGCACUACAGUUGGCAUGCUCACUAAACUUGAUGUCAUGUUACUUGAAAACAAAGCAGUUUGAUGAAUGCAUAAAAGAAGGUU
Humulus lupulus (European hop) is the source of this 728-nucleotide long non-coding RNA. RefSeq lists it as uncharacterized. The record is from RefSeq and is a predicted model, not a curated record. Lineage: Eukaryota; Viridiplantae; Streptophyta; Magnoliopsida; Rosales; Cannabaceae. The transcript has 3 exons.